This 464-nucleotide ribosomal RNA is filed under the name uncultured bacterium. Its description in RNAcentral is "bacterial SSU rRNA". It matches the Rfam family "Bacterial small subunit ribosomal RNA", at positions 355 to 825 of the family's 1533-position model. The record is from RNAcentral.
UGGGGAAUAUUGCACAAUGGGCGCAAGCCUGAUGCAGCGACGCCGCGUGGGGGAUGAAGGUCUUCGGAUUGUAAACCCCUUUCGGGAGGGAAGAUGGAAUGGGGUAACCCAUUCGGACGGUACCUCCAGAAGCAGCCACGGCUAACUUCGUGCCAGCAGCCGCGGUAAUACGAAGGUGGCAAGCGUUGUUCGGAUUUACUGGGCGUACAGGGAGCGUAGGCGGUUGGGUAAGCCCUCCGUGAAAUCUCCGGGCCUAACCCGGAAAGUGCGGAGGGGACUGCUCGGCUAGAGGAUGGGAGAGGAGCGCGGAAUUCCCGGUGUAGCGGUGAAAUGCGUAGAGAUCGGGAGGAAGGCCGGUGGCGAAGGCGGCGCUCUGGAACAUAUCUGACGCUGAGGCUCGAAAGCGUGGGGAGCAAACAGGAUUAGAUACCCCAGUAGUCCCUGAGCGGGCUGGCAAGGCGCAU